RNAcentral lists this ribosomal RNA (484 nucleotides) under uncultured bacterium. Its description in RNAcentral is "partial 16S ribosomal RNA". It matches the Rfam family "Bacterial small subunit ribosomal RNA", at positions 28 to 507 of the family's 1533-position model. The record is from RNAcentral.
AUUGGACGCUGGCGGCAUGCUUUACACAUGCAAGUCGAACGGCAGCGCGGGCUUCGGCCUGGCGGCGAGUGGCGAACGGGUGAGUAAUGCAUCGGAACGUGCCCAGUAGUGGGGGAUAGCCCGGCGAAAGCCGGAUUAAUACCGCAUACGACCUGAGGGUGAAAGCGGGGGACCGAAAGGCCUCGCGCUAUUGGAGUGGCCGAUGUCGGAUUAGCUAGUUGGUGGGGUAAAGGCUUACCAAGGCGACGAUCCGUAGCUGGUCUGAGAGGACGACCAGCCACACUGGGACUGAGACACGGCCCAGACUCCUACGGGAGGCAGCAGUGGGGAAUUUUGGACAAUGGGGGCAACCCUGAUCCAGCCAUGCCGCGUGCGGGAAGAAGGCCUUCGGGUUGUAAACCGCUUUUGUUCGGGAAGAAAUCCUCUGGGCUAAUACCCCGGGGGGAUGACGGUACCGGAAGAAUAAGCACCGGCUAACUACGUG